AUUGAACGCUGGCGGCAUGCUUUACACAUGCAAGUCGAACGGUAACAGGUUAAGCUGAUGAGUGGCGAAAGGGUCAGUAAUGCAUAGGAACGUGCCCGGUCGUGGGGGAUAACGCAGCGAAAGCUGCGCUAAUACCGCAUACGAUCUGAGGAUCAAAGCGGGGGACUCAAAGGCCUCGCGCGAUCGGAGCGGACGAUGUCAGAUGAGGUAGUUGGUGGGGUAAAGGCUCACCAAGCCAACGACCUGUAGCUGGUCUGAGAGGACGACCAGCCACACUGGGACUGAGACACGGCCCAGACUCCUACGGGAGGCAGCAGUGGGGAAUUUUGGACAAUGGGCGAAAGCCUGAUCCAGCAAUGCCGCGUGCAGGAAGAAGGCCUUCGGGUUGUAAACUGCUUUUGUACGGAGCGAAAAGGUCUCCUCUAAUACAGGGGGCUCAUGACGGUACCGUAAGAAUAAGCACCGGCUAACUACGUGCCAGCAGCCGCCGUAA
RNAcentral lists this ribosomal RNA (493 nucleotides) under uncultured bacterium. Its description in RNAcentral is "partial 16S ribosomal RNA". It matches the Rfam family "Bacterial small subunit ribosomal RNA", at positions 29 to 523 of the family's 1533-position model. The record is from RNAcentral.